Long non-coding RNA from Ziziphus jujuba (common jujube), 2524 nucleotides. RefSeq lists it as uncharacterized. The record is from RefSeq and is a predicted model, not a curated record. Lineage: Eukaryota; Viridiplantae; Streptophyta; Magnoliopsida; Rosales; Rhamnaceae. The transcript has 7 exons.
ACACAGCCAGUUUUAUUGAUAAUAUCCUUGGCUUAAAUAGCCAUUCAAUAUACUAUUUUAACAAGAAAACAGCCCACUUUGGCGAAAAUAAAGCCAAGUGGGUCAAAUACUAGUAGACUUCCUGAAGACUAUGGCUUUCCCUGAAAACCAGAGAAUUAUUCUAAGAAAAAAAUGCAAUAAACUCCUUCAUUUCUAUCAUAGAACGAUUGAUUUUUCUGAUGGAUGAUCGAAAUUCAUCAAUUGUUUAAUUUUUCUUAUAAAUUUCUAGGUUCCCAGGUUCGACCACCUUUAUCCUUUGGAGAGAAUGAUUUUGUGAUUCAGUUGACAUUAAUUGAAGUGAUUUUAUUUUUUUUGUCAGGUUUCGAAAUAAAAAGUAAUUUUCCUAAAUUUGUUGUAAUUUUUUUUGAGGACAAUGAAAUUGCAUUAAGUUCUGCGUUAUUUAUAUACUUUUUUUUUUUUUUUUUUGGGUGCAUGCGUGUGUGUGUGUGUUUUGUGGGGGUAAGAUGAGUGUAGAAGGAAGAGACAAGGGGCAGAAAAGGAUAGAAGAUGAGGAGGAAAUAGAUGUGGAAAGAAGGCAAAGAAGGGACAAAACAAAAUUGAAGAGGCAGAGAACGAACAAAGUUGAAAGCUCUCAUAAGCAUUCCAAAUGCCAUUCUCAUACAGGAAUACGGUGUUUGUGAUGGUGCCAGAGGAAGCAUCCACAUGCUACUACAUGAGGCAGUGGAGAGAGGAUAAUAGCAUUUAUGGAAAGUCAGAGCAUGAUUAAUCCCAAAACACCUCUAUUGAAUGGAGCAUAUGCUUAUGGAGUUGUGGAGCGUCCAUUCCCACUAAAUUGCUUCCUAAAAAAUUGAUGGCAACCAAUUAUUAGAAUAUCAGAAAAAGUUGGUUCUCCCCAAGCUUCUCGGAUAUCUAAUAGAAAAGUAGAAGGUGCUAUGCCAAGCUUAUAUUGGAAUGGUGAAAGGAUGUCUGCUGAACCUGAAAAGACUAGUACUAAGCUUUGUUAUGGUGGACUUGACAAGGGUGGCUGUGAAUUGAGCUUAGGAAGUACAGAAGCUGAUAAACGUUAUUAUGAUGAAAAUGAAAGUUAUUUGAUGGGUAGAGAAGGUGCUGGAAAUAGUAGAGUUCCAACAGAAGGGGAAGAGAUGCCAUGUAAACAAGCUGGAAAUUAAAGACAGUCUAAAUGAUCUUUUGGAUGACAUAAAAGAAGCUGGUACUGGCACAGAGGAACAAAACCUGAGUGCUGCGAAGGGAAGGUCAAUUGGAAAGGGUCUUAGAAAGAAAAGUUAAAGAGCACUUUUUGUUAGAGGUAUGCCUGUAAAUGUUUUCAAACUAUGAACUAUCUGUCUUCUUUUCUUUGGCAUUUUCUCCCUCUGCAAAAUGGUGUCUCUAUCUGUGUUCAUUUCUGUAACUGGUCGUUAUGUAGCUCAUCAAUUGUCUCAGUGCUAUUAAAAAGGCUAUAAUCUGGUCCAUGGAUUUUUACUUAGUAUUUUAGAAAGUUUUGAAAAGUAAUAAUUGGUCACUCUUCACUGAUCAGUUUGAUUGUUUCACCUUUUGCGUUGAUCACUCUGUCCUCCAUUUGUGGAAGCUGUUUGGAUUUUCCUUAUAAUUUGUUGCGACUCUUUUCUUCAUAUACAUGAGGACUCUCCCUUUGAAGCGUUGAAAACUCUGGCAGAUAUGUCCUUGAUGAUGCCAGAAACACCUACUGACCAUGCAUGUUUAUGGGUAUCAGAAAAUGCCAGCUUAUGGUUAGGCUUCUGGUGAUAUUAGUUCUCUUAUAUUUUUUUUGUCAUUUGAUCUUCUUAACUAUAAGUUGAUUCUAUUUUGCUUCAAUCUGAUAUCUUGUUGGUUUUUUGCAUCUGAAGAGCCAUCUGUACAGGACAAGGGAGAAAAUUUGAUGUUGUUAUCAAGUCUAAACUUAAAGGGAACCAUUCAGUUCUUGGGGUUGAAGACACUGCUUUCAGCUAAUCUGCGAAAGGCCAAGCUCACCAGUUUAAUGCUGGAAUCCAGAAAAGAAAACAAGUUGAAGACACUGCUUUCAGCUAAACUGCGAAUGGCCAACGAGGGAGCUCACCAGUUUAAUGCUGGAAUCCAGAAAAGAAAACAAAAGUCUUUUCCAUUUAAAAUACAUGAAAAUGAAGGUCAUCCGAGUGACAAUCAAAAGAUAGAGGUGUGUAAUUGUCAACCUAAAACAGAUGAGUGAUGACUACGGGAUUCUUCUUCUUCUUCUUCUUUUCUCCCCAAAAGGCCUCAUAUAUAGGGGAUAAACUUUUAGGCCUCUGGUGGGGAGAGAUAUAGUGCGACUUGCUUUAUUUGUUGUUCUAUUUACAGGUGAUCUGAGUAAAUAUCGCAUUCAUACUAAUAUUCCAUGUUAACUGUUAAGUUGGACAGUUCUAAUGCUUUUGCCUGUACGUAUGCCUAUCAAACUACGAGACUGGAAUUGAGUCUUCCAACAAUAAUGAACAGAAUUAAGGGGCAGCUGGGUUGACCAUGAGAAUACUUUCUCCUAUGCCUUGGGAUUUCUUAA